Molecule: unclassified non-coding RNA, 2746 nt
Filed under: uncultured fungus
Lineage: Eukaryota; Fungi
Description: sequence contains 18S rRNA gene, ITS1, 5.8S rRNA gene, ITS2, 28S rRNA gene
Rfam family: Eukaryotic large subunit ribosomal RNA (bases 1501-2746)
Source: RNAcentral
GGAAGGAUCAUUGCCAAAACAAAAAACCUUUUAAGAGGAAAGUCAAGAUUUGUUUCUUUUCUUUCUUUUUGAAAUUCCCCAAAUCAUGUGAACCCUUAAAAAAGAGUUUAGUUUGUGUAGAGGGAAAAAGAGAAAAAGGAAGGAACUCUUGAGAUGGAAAGUUUAUUUCCUUUUCAACCUUUUAUUUCUCUUUCUCCUCUCUCUCACACGACUUGGCCUUUUUUUGUUUUUAUAACAAAACCCAAUGUCUUUCAUUUUAUUUUCUUGUAUUACGAUGAGUUGUGCAUAUACACUAAUUAGUAUAUAUAUAUAUUCUUAUGACUUGUGUGUGCACACUCUCAAAAAAAAUCAUACAACUUUUAACAAUGGAUCUCUUGGCUCUCGCAACGAUGAAGAACGCAGCGAAAUGCGAUACGUCAUGUGAAUUGCAUAACGUGAAUCAUUGAAUUUUCGAACGCAAAUGGCACCUUUGACUUAGACUCGAAGGUAUGCCUGUUUGAGUAUCCGUUUUCCUACCUGUCAAAAAAAAAGAUGGUCAUCUCUUUUUUGGAAUUGAGUAUUUCACAUGUUCUUUCCUCUCCUCUUUCUCGUUUCUAAUUUUAGAAACGGGUGUGUGGGGUGGUAGAGAAGGUGUGAUACUUUGAUUGGAGACAAACAGUGUCUUUUUUUAGAAAUUUCUUGGAGAGAGAGAAAAGAGAGAGAGAAAAAGUGUAUAGGAACCAGGGAAAAAAAGGGGUCACUAUGAUUCCUUCUUCUUUCUUUGUUCCUAUGCUAAUUCUCUGUUGUCUCUUCUUCUUUCUCUCUACAACUCUUCUUCUGUGUUUCUUUUCUCUAAGAAACGACAAGAAAGGAAAAAAGUGUCUUUGUGGUUUUCUUUAUCCAAUUCAAUUCCUUUCCAUAGUGUGGUGACGUGAUGUAACUUUUAUAACACGAGAAAUCACUUUGGAGGAAGGAUAAAAAAAUGCAAUGACAUUCAUUUCUUGUUUUAGGAGAGGAGGAAAGAAAGGAGAAAGGGAAGAGUCAAGGAGUUGUUGUUGUUGCUGCUCUGUAUUUGUGUGGUGUGUGAGUGAGAGAGAAAAAGGAGAGAGGGAGGGAUUGGUCUCUUUCUGUGGUGUUGCAAAAUGCAAAAACCCAGGAAAAAACCUUUUCCUUUUCUCUUCUCUCUUCUCAUUCAUCAUCACCUCUAUACCACUUAUACAGAGUAACAACAACGGCAACUACUCGAUCACUUUUCCUUCCCAUUUUUCUCUUAACUGAGAAGAAAAGGAACUUUGUUUCCUUUCUUUUGUUGAAAUUGUUUUCAUCUUCUCAAUGGAAAAGGAAGAGGGGGGAAAGAGAAGGAGCAAGUUGCUCUCUCUCUUUUAUAUAACCCUCUCUUCUCUUUUCAAAAGAGAUGAGAAAGACUUUUUACUGUAAAAAAACGCGUGUGAGAUAUGAUGUAGCACUUAUUUGUGCUACAUAUAUAUAUAUCUCUAUUCUAAUAUAUAAUAUAUCACAUUUGGAUCUCAAAUCAGGCAAGAUUACCCGCCGAACUUAAGCAUAUUACUAAGCGGAGGAAAGAAACUAACAAGGAUUCCCUCAGUAGCGGCGAGUGAAGUGGGAAAAGCUCAAAUUUAAAAUCUUUAGAUUCUUAAAAGGAAUUCAAAGAGUUGUAAUCUAGAGAAGGUAGAAUCCUGUCAACCCAUUCAAAUAGAAGUUCUUUGGAACAAGACAUCGUAGAGGGUGAGAAUCCCGUCUGUGAUUUGAAUGAACCAAAUUAAUUAGUGUUGACUUUAUGGUGAUCUAUCUUCAAAGAGUCGGGUUGUUUGGGAAUGCAGCCCAAAAUGGGUGGUAAAUUUCAUCUAAGCUAAAUAAUGGCGAGAGACCGAUAGCGAACAAGUACCGUGAGGGAAAGAUGAAAAGAACUUUGAAGAGAGAGUUAAAAGUACGUGAAAUUGUUAAAAGGGAAGCGAUUGAAACCAGUGCUGUGUCACUUGAAACAUCAAUGAAGUCAUGUUUAGUUAGUGUUUCAGGACGUGCUAUGAAAUGCUUUCAAAACUUUCAUAAACAUGUUCUGAAAAAUUAAACGCUAUCUUCAUGCACUGUUUUAAGGUUUUGUAAAAGAAUUUAGACAGGUCAACCUCAGUUUCUUUUUUGUGUCGGAAAAAUAUUUAAAGGAAGGUAUCAUUGACUUUUUUAAAGUUGAUGAACUUAUAGCUUUUAAACUUUUUGAAUACGAUGCAAGAGACUGAUAAAAACUUCUCUCCAAUUAUAAACCUUCCUAGGAUUAAGUUCUUGAUGUGUCUACGUGAAACAUGUUUUAUCCUACGGGAUCAUGAUUCAUGAUAGUACAGUUAGUCUAGACACGAAUUCUUUUGAAGUUGUUUUAUAAUUUUGAAAAAAAAGUGUUGACAAAAUGGUUUUAACCGACCCGUCUUGAAACACGGACCAAGGAGUCUAACAUUUAUGCGAGUAAUCGAGUGAUUUAAACUUGAAUGCGUAAUGAAAGUGAACGUGGGUGGGAUCUUUUUUUCUUUCGAGAAAGAGAGUGCACCAUCGACCGAUCGGAAUACUUUCUAACGAAAGUUGAACGAAUCGAGUUAGAGCAUAACUGUUGGGACCCGAAAGAUGGUGAACUAUGCCUGAGUAGGGUGAAGCCAGAGGAAACUCUGGUGGAGGCUCGUAGCGAUACUGACGUGCAAAUCGUUCGUCAAACUUGGGUAUAGGGGCGAAAGACUAAUCGAACCAUCUAGUAGCUGGUUCCCUC